This 666-nucleotide ribosomal RNA is filed under the name Alexandrium fundyense. Its description in RNAcentral is "LSU rRNA". It matches the Rfam family "Eukaryotic large subunit ribosomal RNA", at positions 43 to 651 of the family's 3401-position model. The record is from RNAcentral. Lineage: Eukaryota; Dinophyceae; Gonyaulacales; Pyrocystaceae.
UAAGUAAGUGGUGGAAAUUAAACCAAAUGGGAUAUCUUUAGUAAUUGCGAAUGAACAAGGAUAUGCUUAGCUUGACAAAUGGAGCUAUUGGCUUUGAAUUGUAUUGUGGAAAUGUAUUACCAACAGAGGUGCAGGUGCCAGCCUAUUGAAAUAAAGCGUCAAUGAGGGUGAGAAUCCUGUUUGUCAUGUGCAGCCCUUUGUGCACGGUGUAUAUUUGCUGAGUCACACUCCUUGGCAUUGGAAUGCAAAGUGGGUGGUAAGUUUCAUGUAAAGGUAAACAUGCAAUUGAGACUGAUAGCACACAAGUACCAUGAGGGAAAUAUGAAAAGGACUUUGAAAAGAGAAUUAAAUGAGUUUGUAUUUGCUGAACACAAAGUAAACAGACUUGAUUUGCUUGGUGGGAGUGUUGCACUUGCUUGACAAGAGCUUUGGGCUGUGGGUGUAAUGAUUCUUUCUUUGCAUGCCAGUUUCUAUUUGUACAUCUGAUUACCUUUGCACAUGAAUGAUAAGUCUCCUGUGGGGGGUGAAUUGCAUGUGCAUGUAAUGAUUUGUGUUUUGAUAAAUGUGUCUGGUGUAUGUGUGUGUUCCUGUGCUUGGGGAUGCUUCCUUCCUUGGACUUACAAGCCCUGACACACACAUGCUGGCAAAAUGCUUCUGCUUGACCCG